Musca domestica (house fly) is the source of this 636-nucleotide long non-coding RNA. RefSeq lists it as uncharacterized. The transcript has 2 exons. NCBI's taxonomy places the organism in Eukaryota, Metazoa, Arthropoda, Insecta, Diptera, Muscidae. The record is from RefSeq and is a predicted model, not a curated record.
AAACACCAAAAGUAAAAAUACCAGGGGCUUCAGUACUUGCUGUAAUGGAUGAAGAAAUAAAUCAGCGGUCUACUGAAAAAAUUCGUCGCUGGACAUUGAGGAACGCAUCAGAUCCUUUAUCUCACUCAAAUGCAGAAUUUAUAACAUAUUAUCGGCUAAAUAAAGAAGCUUUUGUUUUAGUUUUGGAAAAAAUUUCUCCCCACCUCAAACGUUCCAAUAUACCGGCUAUUAUCCAGCUUGCAACAACGCUUAGGUUUUUGGCUACUGGUGCAUUUCAAAUUCUGAUUAAACUGUUCUCGUGUUCACUGAAACAUAUUGAUUGAUAUCACCACCACCAGUUCCUCGCAAGUCCUUUUUAUUAUGACACAUCUUCGCCUUAACAUUUCCUUUCCAAUCUGACCAAACUUUCUUCCAUUCUUUACAGGUUUUACUUGGUGGACCUGAACUAUUCAGCAAAGCUGUCAAUUCCGUCCAUAGAGAAUCAACAACAACCUUAUCACCUUUUACAUAGCCCCUGGCAAUAUCGUGAUGUUUAUCCAUAAAAUUGAUAAAAAUUUUGUCCUGUUUAACGUUUCGGUGUUUGCCCCUAAAGUAUAAAAUAAAUUAAAUAAACAGUUUUUGACGAAAAUUUAGAAA